GGGGAAUUUUGGACAAUGGGCGCAAGCCUGAUCCAGCCAUGCCGCGUGCAGGAUGAAGGCCUUCGGGUUGUAAACUGCUUUUGUACGGAACGGAAAGGUGCCUUCUAAUAAAGGGCGCUCAUGACGGUACCGUAAGAAUAAGCACCGGCUAACUACGUGCCAGCAGCCGCGGUAAUACGUAGGGUGCGAGCGUUAAUCGGAAUUACUGGGCGUAAAGCGUGCGCAGGCGGUUUUGUAAGACAGAGGUGAAAUCCCCGGGCGCAACCUUGAACCUGCCCUUGUGACUGCAAGGCUGGAGUGCGGCACAGGUGGAUGGAAUUCCGCGUGUAGCAGUGAAAUGCGUAGAUAUGCGGAGGAACACCUAUGGCGAAGGCAAUCCCCUGGGCCUGCACUGACGCUCAUGCACGAAAGCGUGGGGAGC
Molecule: ribosomal RNA, 421 nt
Filed under: uncultured bacterium
Lineage: Bacteria
Description: bacterial SSU rRNA
Rfam family: Bacterial small subunit ribosomal RNA
Source: RNAcentral